RNAcentral lists this ribosomal RNA (56 nucleotides) under Glomus sp. 'Bad Sachsa'. RNAcentral describes it as "partial 28S ribosomal RNA". Lineage: Eukaryota; Fungi; Glomeromycota; Glomeromycetes; Glomerales; Glomeraceae. The record is from RNAcentral.
UGACCUCAAUCAGGUAAGAACACCCGCUGAACUUAAGCAUAUCAAUAAGCGGAGGA